RNAcentral lists this ribosomal RNA (254 nucleotides) under uncultured bacterium. RNAcentral describes it as "partial 16S ribosomal RNA". It matches the Rfam family "Bacterial small subunit ribosomal RNA", at positions 524 to 776 of the family's 1533-position model. The record is from RNAcentral.
UACGUAGGGGGCAAGCGUUGUCCGGAUUUAUUGGGCGUAAAGAGCUCGUAGGUGGUUCGGUAAGUCGGAUGUGAAAUCUCCAGGCUCAACCUGGAGGGGUCAUUCGAUACUGCCGUGACUAGAGUUCGGUAGGGGAGUGUGGAAUUCCUGGUGUAGCGGUGAAAUGCGCAGAUAUCAGGAGGAACACCAAUGGCGAAGGCAGCUCGCUGGGACGGUACUGACGCUGAGACGCGAAAGCGUGGGGAGCAAACAGG